AUAUCAAUAAGCGGAGGAAAAGAAACCAACAGGGAUUGCCCUAGUAACGGCGAGUGAAGCGGCAACAGCUCAAAUUUGAAAUCUGGCUCUCGGGCCCGAGUUGUAAUUUGUAGAGGAUGCUUUUGGUGAGGUGCCUUCCGAGUUCCCUGGAACGGGACGCCAUAGAGGGUGAGAGCCCCGUCUGGUUGGACACCGAUCCUCUGUAAAGCUCCUUCGACGAGUCGAGUAGUUUGGGAAUGCUGCUCUAAAUGGGAGGUAUAUGUCUUCUAAAGCUAAAUAUUGGCCAGAGACCGAUAGCGCACAAGUAGAGUGAUCGAAAGAUGAAAAGCACUUUGAAAAGAGAGUUAAAAAGUACGUGAAAUUGUUGAAAGGGAAGCGCUUGUGACCAGACUUGGGCUUGGUUGAUCAUCCAGGGUUCUCCCUGGUGCACUCUUCCAGCCCAGGCCAGCAUCAGUUUGCUUCGGGGGAUAAAGGCGUCGGGAAUGUGGCACCCUCCGGGGUGUGUUAUAGCCCGUCGUGUAAUACCCUGGGGCAGACUGAGGUUCGCGCAUCUGCAAGGAUGCUGGCGUAAUGGUCAUCAGCGACCCGUCUUGAAACACGGACCAAGGAGUCGUCUUCGUAUGCGAGUGUUCGGGUGUCAAACCCCUACGCGUAAUGAAAGUGAACGCAGGUGAGAGCUUCGGCGCAUCAUCGACCGAUCCUGAUGUUCUCGGAUGGAUUUGAGUAAGAGCAUACGGGGCCGGACCCGAAAGAAGGUGAACUAUGCCUGUAUAGGGUGAAGCCAGAGGAAACUCUGGUGGAGGCUCGCAGCGGUUCUGACGUGCAAAUCGAUCGUCAAAUAUGGGCAUGGGGGCGAAAGACUAAUCGAACCUUCUAGUAGCUGGUUUC
RNAcentral lists this ribosomal RNA (888 nucleotides) under Fusarium cicatricum. RNAcentral's name for it is "LSU rRNA". It matches the Rfam family "Eukaryotic large subunit ribosomal RNA", at positions 40 to 958 of the family's 3401-position model. Lineage: Eukaryota; Fungi; Ascomycota; Sordariomycetes; Hypocreales; Nectriaceae. The record is from RNAcentral.